This 253-nucleotide ribosomal RNA is filed under the name uncultured bacterium. Its description in RNAcentral is "partial 16S ribosomal RNA". It matches the Rfam family "Bacterial small subunit ribosomal RNA", at positions 524 to 776 of the family's 1533-position model. The record is from RNAcentral.
GACGUACCACCCGAACGUUAUUCGGAUUCACUGGGCUUACAGAGUCCGUAGGCGGUCAAGAAAGUUAGGCGUGAAAUCCCUCAGCUCAACUGAGGAAUAGCGCUUAAAACUACUUGGCUAGAGAGAGUCAGAGGUGAGCGGAACUGAUGGUGGAGCGGUGAAAUGCGUUGAUAUCGUCUGGAACGCCGAAGGUGAAAACAGCUCGCUGGGGCUGCGCUGACGCUGAGACACGAAAGCCAGGGGAGCGAACGGG